Molecule: ribosomal RNA, 726 nt
Filed under: uncultured bacterium
Lineage: Bacteria
Description: bacterial SSU rRNA
Rfam family: Bacterial small subunit ribosomal RNA
Source: RNAcentral
CAGUCGAGCGAGUCUGCCUUGAAGAUCGGAGUGCUUGCACUCUGUGAAACAAGAUACAGGCUAGCGGCAGACGGGUGAGUAACACGUGGGUAACCUGCCCAAGAGAUCGGGAUAACACCUGGAAACAGAUGCUAAUACCGGAUAACAACAGAUGAUGCCUAUCAACUGUUUAAAAGAUGGUUCUGCUAUCACUCUUGGAUGGACCUGCGGUGCAUUAGCUAGUUGGUAGGGUAACGGCCUACCAAGGCGAUGAUGCAUAGCCGAGUUGAGAGACUGAUCGGCCACAUUGGGACUGAGACACGGCCCAAACUCCUACGGGAGGCAGCAGUAGGGAAUCUUCCACAAUGGACGCAAGUCUGAUGGAGCAACGCCGCGUGAGUGAAGAAGGGUUUCGGCUCGUAAAGCUCUGUUGUUGGUGAAGAAGGACAGGGGUAGUAACUGACCUUUGUUUGACGGUAAUCAAUUAGAAAGUCACGGCUAACUACGUGCCAGCAGCCGCGGUAAUACGUAGGCGGCAAGCGUUGUCCGGAUUUAUUGGGCGUAAAGCGAGUGCAGGCGGCUCGAUAAGUCUGAUGUGAAAGCCUUCGGCUCAACCGGAGAAUUGCAUCAGAAACUGUCGAGCUUGAGUNNNNAAGAGGAGAGUGGAACUCCAUGUGUAGCGGUGAAAUGCGUAGAUAUAUGGAAGAACACCGGUGGCGAANGCGGCUCUCUGGUCUGUNNNUGACG